GCCUAGUUAGCUUGGAAGGUAGAGCGAUUGCUUUGUAAGCGCUAGGUCGCUGGAUCGAUUCCCGUGCGAGGCG
RNAcentral lists this transfer RNA (73 nucleotides) under Diaphorina citri (Asian citrus psyllid). It matches the Rfam family "tRNA". Rfam says of the family: Transfer RNA (tRNA) molecules are approximately 80 nucleotides in length. Their secondary structure includes four short double-helical elements and three loops (D, anti-codon, and T loops). The record is from Rfam by way of RNAcentral. Lineage: Eukaryota; Metazoa; Arthropoda; Insecta; Hemiptera; Psyllidae.